GAUGAACGCUGGCGGCGUGCCUAAUACAUGCAAGUCGAGCGAACGGACGAGAAGCUUGCUUCUCUGAUGUUAGCGGCGGACGGGUGAGUAACACGUGGAUAACCUCCUUAUAAUACUGGGAUAACUUCGGGAAACCGGAUCUAAUACGGUAUAAUAUUUUGAACCGUGUGGUUCAAAGGUGAAAGACGGUCUUGCUGGCUCUUCUAGAGGGAUCCGCGCUGCAUUAGCUAGUUGGGAGGGUAACGGCUUACCAAGGGAACGAUGCAUAAACGAAGUGAUAGGGGGGUCGCCGGCCUGGGAACUGAGACGCCGUCCAGAGUCCUACGGGAGGCAGCAGUAGGGAAUGUUACGCAAUGGUGGAAAGCAUGACGGAGCGACGCCGAGUGAGUGAUGAAGGUCUUCGGAGCGUAAAAAUGGGUUAUGAGGUAAGAACCUAUGUGGAAGGAAAUGUGGCCAGCUUGACGGUACCUAAUAAGAAAGCAACGGCUAACUACGUG
Molecule: ribosomal RNA, 497 nt
Filed under: uncultured bacterium
Lineage: Bacteria
Description: partial 16S ribosomal RNA
Rfam family: Bacterial small subunit ribosomal RNA
Source: RNAcentral